GCCAAACUUAAGCCCAGCCAACUCCACAAACAUAUUACACAAACCAAACAAACCAUUUGACAAAAAAAGUAUUUGCGAAAGAACCUUUAAAGCCGGCGCGACAACACCGCAAGGGACAAUUGAAAGAACAAUGAAACACUAAAGCACAACAAAGCAAAGACUAACCCUUGUACCUCUUGCAUCAUGAUUUAGCAAGCAAUCCCAGACAAAGAGCCCUUAAGUCUGCCUUCCCGAAACUACGUGAGCUAUUUCCGGGCAAUUAGAUGAAUGAACUCGUCUCUGUGGCAAAAGAGUGAGAUGACCCAUAAAUAGAGGU
RNAcentral lists this ribosomal RNA (316 nucleotides) under Namazonurus lawrenci. Its description in RNAcentral is "partial 16S large subunit ribosomal RNA". Lineage: Eukaryota; Metazoa; Chordata; Lepidosauria; Squamata; Cordylidae. The record is from RNAcentral.